AGCAGCCGCGGUAAUUCCAGCUCCAAUAGCGUAUAUUAAAGUUGUUGCAGUUAAAAAGCUCGUAGUUGAAUUUCGGGAUCAAUAUAUUGGUCGUGCCUUCGGUAUGCACUGGUAUUAUUGAUUUCUACCUUCUGACGAACUAUGAUGUCAUUAAUUUGGUGUCAUGGGGAAUCAGGACUGUUACUUUGAAAAAAUUAGAGUGUUUAAAGCAGGCACACGCUUGAAUACAUUAGCAUGGAAUAAUGAAAUAGGACGUUUGACCCUAUUUUGUUGGUUUCUAGGAUCGACGUAAUGAUUAAUAGGGAUAGUUGGGGGCAUUAGUAUUCAAUUGUCAGAGGUGAAAUUCUUGGAUUUAUUGAAGACUAACUACUGCGAAAGCAUUUGCCAAGGAUGUUUUCAUUAAUCAAGAACGAAAGUUAGGGGAUCGAAGACGAUCAGAUACCGUCGUAGUCUUAACCAUAAACUAUGCCGACUAGGGAUCGGAUGAUGUUAAUUUUAAUGA
Molecule: ribosomal RNA, 502 nt
Filed under: uncultured Glomeromycotina
Lineage: Eukaryota; Fungi; Glomeromycota
Description: SSU rRNA
Rfam family: Eukaryotic small subunit ribosomal RNA
Source: RNAcentral